Molecule: long non-coding RNA, 1346 nt
Organism: Magnolia sinica
Lineage: Eukaryota; Viridiplantae; Streptophyta; Magnoliopsida; Magnoliales; Magnoliaceae
Exons: 2
Source: RefSeq, a predicted model, not a curated record
UCAAAGCAUAAUAUUUGAGUAUAUUCUAUGAAUGGAACUGGAUUGAACCAUUUUGAGAGAAAUUAGAAAGGAUUUUUUUGGGGAGUUUUUUUCAUCUUCUUUUUGUUGUGUUUCACUAUAAUGGCCGAUAAUCUGUGAACAUGCUUGAUCUGUUGUCGACUAGGCCUAUUUGACUUUCAGUAGAUCAAGCAAGCAGACAACAUUCUUGUCAAAGAAUGGUAUGGUACACCUUUGAAUACAUGUUAAAAACAUUAAAAAAAUGAUAGGUUCUAGUGUUUUACAUUUUUUCCUAUUUUCCUGAUAAUGUUAAAAAAAAUUAGGCAAAUAAAAAAAAUCAGCAAAACACAGGCCCAUAUCAUCCGAUAGAAGCCUGAUAUAUCCCAUAUAAUAUCAUGUUUGAGCUCGGCCAAUGCAGCGACACAUACUUUAUUUAAAACCUUGUUACUAGCUGUUGUGAAGAUAUAUAUCAGUGGUUUCUCUCGAGGAUCUCGAAUGGAGGUCGAAGGUUUUGAGGAUCUCGAUGGUUGGACUGCUAGUAAUCAUCGCAGGAGCCCCUUAUAGCAUUUUCAUCACCAACAUUUCAUUCGAAUCAUGAGAGACCAAUCUAAUUGAGGUGUUCUCUUGUUUUGGGUACAUUGCCAACAUCUUCACUCCUGUAAAUCAGUCAUUUGGCAAGAGUUGAGGGUUCGCUUUCAUGCAUUUUCUGUAUUUAGACCAUGCAGCUGACGGUAUCUAAGUCAUGAAAUGAAGGAGAUUUGGUGGUAGGGUAAUUGCGGUGAACGAAGCAAGAGCAAUGGUGAAUGGGGCUAGAGGUAGGUCAAAGGUUAUAUCUCAGAAGGGUGAAUCUGGUCCUGGAUGUUUUAAUGGGGGCAAGAUCGCAAACUCCAAUCAUGGGGGUGAUUGUUCUUUUAGAGAAACAGUGGUUAGUCAUCGUGGAUCAUCAUAUUUUAAUGGGGGCAUAGUUCUAUUAUUGUUCGAAGAUCCUCUGACUUGGAGCCGUGUCUGGUGGGGAUCAUCAUUUUUCUUGCAACGCCUUGUUGUUGCUUCUCCCGUUUUCCAUUUUGUUUCUGUUAUAGUGUGUAUGGGCAUGCCAUGGUACAAGUAAAUUGGAGAUCAUCCAGUAAAGAUAAUUGCUGCCAUAAACCCCGCAUCUUAAAAUAAUAAUCAGAAACCGAAUGCUUCCCCUGUCUUCAAGUCCCAAUCUCGUGGUAAAUAUUGAAAAUCUGAGCCAUAUUAUUCUAAUCAGUAUACAAUUCAUGAGCAGCCAACCAAAUUUCACGGGCAGUAGAUAAUAAGAAAAAUCCUUCACUAACUUCUGAUUCCAUACAUUAAAAAAAAAACAAAAA